RNAcentral lists this ribosomal RNA (253 nucleotides) under uncultured bacterium. RNAcentral's name for it is "partial 16S ribosomal RNA". It matches the Rfam family "Bacterial small subunit ribosomal RNA", at positions 524 to 776 of the family's 1533-position model. The record is from RNAcentral.
GACGAGCCUCACAAACGUUAUUCGGAAUCACUGGGCUUAAAGGGUGCGUAGGCGGUGUGGAAAGUCGGAUGUGAAAUACCUCAGCUUAACUGAGGAACUGCACUCGAUACUUCCAUGCUAGAGUAAGACAGAGGUGAGUGGAACUGAGGGUGGAGCGGUGAAAUGCGUUGAUAUCCUCAGGAACACCGGUGGCGAAGGCGACUCACUGGGUCUUUACUGACGCUGAUGCACGAAAGCUAGGGUAGCAAACGGG